Molecule: non-coding RNA, 174 nt
Filed under: human gut metagenome
Description: malK-I RNA
Rfam family: malK-I RNA
Source: RNAcentral
GCGCCGGUUACUCCACCCAUAUAACAGGCUCGACCCCAAAAAGGAGGAAAUGAUUCCAACCGCCCGACUUGCGGUGCGGCAGCGUGGAGACCUGCCGUAUGCGGCGCAUGGCAUCGCCCGUGGCCGUGAGGUGCGAUUUUGCGGAGGCAGUCGCAUCAAAGUCUGCUUUUAUGG